This is a long non-coding RNA of Mauremys reevesii (Reeves's turtle), 979 nucleotides long. RefSeq lists it as uncharacterized. NCBI's taxonomy places the organism in Eukaryota, Metazoa, Chordata, Testudines, Geoemydidae. The record is from RefSeq and is a predicted model, not a curated record. The transcript is spliced from 3 exons.
CACACCCUCUCACUCAAGGGAGCUGAGCCUGUGAUAUCAUUGGGGAAACAGGGAAAUACAUCAGACAAUGAAGUGAAAGAAGACAUGUAUUAGCAUAGAGCAACUUGCUCACUCUUACUCUCCUCAGAAGGGUCUUGGUCCCUGCCCCCUGCCUGGAGGAAGGAAAACCACUAAUUGAUCUGGAUAAGCUCAGUACAAGUCUGAGGCACCAUUCAUUUGAGACAGUUACUUGGAGGUUCUGUAGUCCAUGCUGGCCUUAUAGAGUGGUGGUAUCCUAUUCGCUAAACAUCAUCCCAGAAGAGCUUUCGUUUAGGAUUCUGUUUGCAAGUAUGAACACAGUCCUGAUCUUUAAAAAGAAAGAAAAGAAACCAAAUACAAUAUGAAGUUGGAAAAAUUAAGCUGAAUAAUUUACAAUGCUAAUUAGUCAGAGGAAUACAUUUUGACAAUGUGUUUAUACGAUAUUGGGAAAUAAUUUUCCACUUUGUCUCUCUCCAGUACAGUCCUUAUGACUGCAGAACAUCUAAACAAAAUUUUCUUUGUUUGCAACCUCUAUGCUCCUAACAAUGCUCACCAUAAAUGACCUUUUUUUUUUUCUUAUUUAUUGUGAGUAAAAUGUUGAAGUACUAAAUGGCACUAAAACAGCUGUUUGAAUUUCCUCUAGCUAUCCUAUAGUUAAAUACAAUUAUUCUAAACACACAUACCCAUAUGCAGCUUUAAAUUGUGAAGAUGUAGGCAGAACCAACCUGGGGAGUAUUUUGAAUUGAGGAUUAUUAUAAUAUUUAUUUAGUGCUGAGUGCUGGUCUUUACCUACCAAUUUUUGUACCAACGUAGCUCUAAUUACAGCUGUGAAAAGGGAAAGAUUUGCAAAGAAAACAAAGGCUGUGAUUCUGUGGGACACAGUCGGCCAGCAGGUUGACAUCUGUGAAUUAUGCAAAUAAAGGAGUACAAAACUAUGACCUUAUAAGCAGGCCAUAUUCAG